AACGCUUCUCGGCCUUUUGGCUAAGAUCAAGUGUAAAAAAAUUGUUCUUAAAGGUAUCUAGGGACUAUUCCAGGCCAAGCAACUUAUUUUUCAAUAUAGAAUUAAGUUGGAAAAGUUAGAAAAUAU
This 126-nucleotide small nuclear RNA is filed under the name Nomascus leucogenys (northern white-cheeked gibbon). RNAcentral's name for it is "U2 spliceosomal RNA". It matches the Rfam family "U2 spliceosomal RNA". Rfam says of the family: U2 is a small nuclear RNA (snRNA) component of the spliceosome (involved in pre-mRNA splicing). Complementary binding between U2 snRNA (in an area lying towards the 5' end but 3' to hairpin I) and the branchpoint sequence (BPS) of the intron results the bulging out of an unpaired adenosine, on the BPS, which initiates a nucleophilic attack at the intronic 5' splice site, thus starting the first of two transesterification reactions that mediate splicing. Lineage: Eukaryota; Metazoa; Chordata; Mammalia; Primates; Hylobatidae. The record is from Rfam by way of RNAcentral.